AACGAACGCUGGCGGCAUGCCUAACACAUGCAAGUCGAACGAGACCUUCGGGUCUAGUGGCGCACGGGUGCGUAACGCGUGGGAACCUGCCCUUAGGUUCGGAAUAACUCCCCGAAAGGGGUGCUAAUACCGGAUAAUGUCUUCGGACCAAAGAUUUAUCGCCUUUGGAUGGGCCCGCGUUGGAUUAGCUAGUUGGUAGGGUAAAAGCCUACCAAGGCGACGAUCCAUAGCUGGUCUGAGAGGAUGAUCAGCCACACUGGGACUGAGACACGGCCCAGACUCCUACGGGAGGCAGCAGUGGGGAAUAUUGGACAAUGGGCGAAAGCCUGAUCCAGCAAUGCCGCGUGAGUGAUGAAGGCCUUAGGGUUGUAAAGCUCUUUUACCCGGGAUGAUAAUGACGGUACCGGGAGAAUAAGCUCCGGCUAACACCGUG
Molecule: ribosomal RNA, 433 nt
Filed under: uncultured bacterium
Lineage: Bacteria
Description: partial 16S ribosomal RNA
Rfam family: Bacterial small subunit ribosomal RNA
Source: RNAcentral